This 254-nucleotide ribosomal RNA is filed under the name uncultured bacterium. RNAcentral describes it as "partial 16S ribosomal RNA". It matches the Rfam family "Bacterial small subunit ribosomal RNA", at positions 524 to 776 of the family's 1533-position model. The record is from RNAcentral.
UACGUAGGGGGCAAGCGUUGUUCGGAAUGGCUGGGCGUAAAGGGUGCGUAGGCGGUGUAGCAAGUUAGAAGUGAAAUACCUAGAGCUUAACUCAGGUGCUGCUUCUAAAACUGCUAUACUUGAGUGCAGUAGAGGAAAGUGGAAUUCCUAGUGUAGCGGUGGAAUGCGUAGAUAUUAGGAGGAACAUCAGUGGCGAAGGCGACUUUCUGGACUGUAACUGACGCUGAGGCACGAAAGUGUGGGGAGCAAACAGG